UCUUGCCGCGGAUGUCCGAGAGCUCUGCCUGGCUUUCUGCCCUGCCCGCCGUCCUCCUGGAGAAGCACAGGGCCGCCCUUCUGGCUCCACAGCAGGGAGGCCGGGCCUGCACCGCCCCCCCCCCAUGUCGGGGAAGGCAGUCCCGGACGAGCGUGCAUGAGAAGUGUGUUUGGUUCACGACACAGAUGAUCGUUGGGCCAGGAAGAGGUGCUGAGCUGAGUGUGGGGAGAACAUAACCUAAUGCGAAAAAUUCAAAGUAGAUGCUGCCAAGGAAAAUAUUUUUUUAUGCAAGAAAUUUUCCUACAUAUUUUUAUCAUUAGAAAAAUGACAAGGCUCGAGGAUGUAGCUCAGUGGUGCCUCGCCUGCCUGGCAAGCAAGGUCUUGAGUUCGAUCCCCGGUAACAGAAAAGAAAGAAGGAAGAAAGGAAGAAGGAAAGAAAGGAAGGAAAAAUGACCUAUCAUUUGGUUUGGUAAGAGAAGAUGAAUUCAAACAAAACUAUGUGAAAUGAAGUGAGUGUGUUAAACCUGUAACAUCAGCUGUUGUUCGGUGUCUCCAGAGCUGCUUUUGCCCUUCAUAUUCACGUCUAAAAUGGCUCCUCUUCCUUCAGAAGAACAAGCCUGAGAAAUAAAUACAUCAGCCCUCUGA
This is a long non-coding RNA of Heterocephalus glaber (naked mole-rat), 645 nucleotides long. RefSeq lists it as uncharacterized. The record is from RefSeq and is a predicted model, not a curated record. Lineage: Eukaryota; Metazoa; Chordata; Mammalia; Rodentia; Bathyergidae.